Molecule: ribosomal RNA, 253 nt
Filed under: uncultured bacterium
Lineage: Bacteria
Description: partial 16S ribosomal RNA
Rfam family: Bacterial small subunit ribosomal RNA
Source: RNAcentral
UACGUAGGGUGCAAGCGUUGUCCGGAAUUAUUGGGCGUAAAGAGCUCGUAGGCGGUCUGUUGCGUCGGCUGUGAAAACCCGGGGCUCAACCCCGGGCCUGCAGCCGAUACGGGCAGACUAGAGUUCGGCAGGGGAGACUGGAAUUCCUGGUGUAGCGGUGAAAUGCGCAGAUAUCAGGAGGAACACCGGCGGUGUAGACGGCUUUCUGGACCGUAGCUGACGCUGAGACACGAAAGCGUGGGUAGCAAACAGG